RNAcentral lists this ribosomal RNA (381 nucleotides) under Triticum aestivum (bread wheat). Its description in RNAcentral is "partial small subunit ribosomal RNA". The record is from RNAcentral. Lineage: Eukaryota; Viridiplantae; Streptophyta; Magnoliopsida; Poales; Poaceae.
AUGCAUUGGUUCGCCUGGUGGAAGGUGUGCAUACCAAAGAAAAGAGGAGGUAUGGGAUUCAGAGAUAUACCAUGUUUCAAUCUAGCAAUGCUUGCCAAACAGGUAUGGAGGAUGUUAUGCGAGCCAGACUCCCUUUGUACAAGGGUACUGAAGGUGAGGUAUUUCCCUUCUGGCGAUCUUCUCGGUGCUGAAUUGAAAAAGGGUUCUUCGUAUACUUGGCAAAGCAUACAUGCGGGUAUCCAAUGUUUUAAGAAAGGAUACAUUUGGCGGGUGGGAGAUGGUACAAAUAUCGAUAUUUGGGAUGACCCGUCGAUCCCAAAUAGCCCAUCAAGGAAGAUCUUGACUGAACGAAGGAAUAUUGUGCUGACGUCGGUCUCAUAA